RNAcentral lists this small RNA (125 nucleotides) under Bordetella hinzii. RNAcentral describes it as "Manganese sequence". It matches the Rfam family "Manganese Mn2+ riboswitch aptamer (yybP-ykoY)". Rfam says of the family: This RNA was originally discovered in E. coli during a large scale screen and was named SraF. The family was later found to exist upstream of related families of protein genes in many bacteria, including the the yybP and ykoK genes in B. subtilis. The specific functions of these proteins are unknown, but this structured RNA element may be involved in their genetic regulation as a riboswitch. The record is from RNAcentral. Lineage: Bacteria; Pseudomonadati; Pseudomonadota; Betaproteobacteria; Burkholderiales; Alcaligenaceae.
GCCACUGUCAUUGGGGAGUAGCCAUCCUUUGUAUCCCCAAAGGAGUCAGCGUCAACAAACUUGGUGGUUCAUCCCCAUGGCGCUGGCAGCCUUGCGGUGCCGUGUCGCGGCAGCCGCCAAGCGCC